RNAcentral lists this ribosomal RNA (403 nucleotides) under uncultured bacterium. Its description in RNAcentral is "bacterial SSU rRNA". It matches the Rfam family "Bacterial small subunit ribosomal RNA", at positions 355 to 774 of the family's 1533-position model. The record is from RNAcentral.
UGGGGAAUCUUGCGCAAUGGGCGAAAGCCUGACGCAGCGACGCCGCGUGAGUGAAGAAGGCCUUCGGGUUGUAAAGCUCUUUUAUCAGGGACGAUAAUGACGGUACCUGAGGAAUAAGCUCCGGCUAACUUCGUGCCAGCAGCCGCGGUAAUACAGAGGGUGCAAACGUUGUUCGGAAUUACUGGGCGUAAAGCGCGUGUAGGCGGCUCUGAUAAGUGAGGUGUGAAAGCCCUGGGCUCAACCCAGGAAGUGCACUUCAAACUAUCGAGCUUGAAUGCUGGAGAGGAAAGCGGAAUUCUCGGUGUAGAGGUGAAAUUCGUAGAUAUCGAGAGGAACACCCGUGGCGAAGGCGGCUUUCUGGACAGCGAUUGACGCUGAGACGCGAAAGCGUGGGGAGCAAACA